UACGGAGGGGGCUAGCGUUGUUCGGAAUUACUGGGCGUAAAGCGCACGUAGGCGGCUUUGUAAGUUAGAGGUGAAAGCCCAGGGCUUAACCCUGGAAUUGCCUUUAAGACUGCUUCGCUAGAAUCGUGGAGAGGUGAGUGGAAUUCCGAGUGUAGAGGUGAAAUUCGUAGAUAUUGGGAAGAACACCGGUGGCGAAGGCGGCUCACUGGCUCGUAACUGACGCUCAUGCACGACAGCGUGGGGAUCAAACAGG
RNAcentral lists this ribosomal RNA (253 nucleotides) under uncultured bacterium. RNAcentral's name for it is "partial 16S ribosomal RNA". It matches the Rfam family "Bacterial small subunit ribosomal RNA", at positions 524 to 776 of the family's 1533-position model. The record is from RNAcentral.